CCUACGGGAGGCAGCAGUAGGGAAUAUUGCGCAAUGGACGAAAGUCUGACGCAGCAACUCCGCGUGGAGGAUGACGGUUUUCGGAUUGUAAACUCCUUUUAUUUGGGAAGAAUAAGUAGUGUAGGUAAUGACAUUGCUCUGAUGGUACCAUUUGAAUAAGCAACGGCUAAAUACGUGCCAGCAGCCGCGGUAAU
RNAcentral lists this ribosomal RNA (194 nucleotides) under uncultured bacterium. RNAcentral describes it as "partial 16S ribosomal RNA". It matches the Rfam family "Bacterial small subunit ribosomal RNA", at positions 338 to 524 of the family's 1533-position model. The record is from RNAcentral.